GCCUUGGCUGGGCGGUCCUGCCUUUUGGUCGGUACUGUUUGGCUAGGGUUCACCUUCUGGUGAGACGGCAUGCUCUUCACUGGGUGUGUCGGGGAACCAGGAUCUUUACUUUGAAAAAAUUAGAGUGUUUAAAGCAGGCAUCCGCUUGAAUACAUUAGCAUGGAAUAAUGGAAUAGGACUUUGGUUCUAUUUUGUUGGUUUCUAGGACCGAGGUA
This 215-nucleotide ribosomal RNA is filed under the name uncultured fungus. Its description in RNAcentral is "partial small subunit ribosomal RNA". The stretch from base 92 to 215 matches the Rfam family "Eukaryotic small subunit ribosomal RNA", at positions 738 to 864 of the family's 1831-position model. Lineage: Eukaryota; Fungi. The record is from RNAcentral.